This is a non-coding RNA of Cricetulus griseus (Chinese hamster), 1025 nucleotides long. The record is from RefSeq and is a predicted model, not a curated record. Lineage: Eukaryota; Metazoa; Chordata; Mammalia; Rodentia; Cricetidae.
UUCAGCUUGCUGUACAGACUGCUGCCAUGCCGGCUGGCUAGGUCACUCUAGUCCCAGAGCAGAGGACAGACGCUGUGUGACUUUGGCUUUUUCUGAUUUUUUCAAGAGAUAAAGGGGCGUGCGUGUGCCAGACAGCUGUUUUCACUGUAACAAAUACUUGAGGUAGUGAACUUAUAAAGAGACAAGGUCUAUUUGGCUCAUAAUUUGAGUGCUGCACUAUAUAACUGGUUGGUCUUUUUGCUUUUGUACUUGUGGUAAAAUGGCACACUAUGGUGGGAGUGAAUGGCAGAGCAGAGUAUUUACAUUGUGGCCUGACAGUGAAAUAAAGAGGAAGGGGCCCAAGUCCCACUGUUUCUGUUAAGGACAGGAGCCUUGUGACUCCCCUUUAGUCCCAUGUCUUAAAGGCCUCAGAAUCCCCAGGAGUUCUAGACUACAUACAAAGCUUCCAAUACAAGUGCCCUUAGGAUAACUUGCAGAGCUGCAUGAUUGUUUUGUCCCUGGUCCCAAAGACAUUCAUGUACAUGUGUACAUCUGAAUGUGAAAUGCAUUCAGUAUUUUGGGGAAGUUCCCAGCAAGGCAGUCAGUUUUGAAAAAAAAUUAUUUUUAUUUUUAACUGUGUAUCUGUGUUGCGCCCGCAUGAGGUUAUGUGCGUGCACACGAUUACAGGUGUCUGCAGCGGAGGUCAGUGGCAUUGGAUGCCCUGGGACCUGGUGUUGGAAACCAUUGUCAGCCUCCCAACAUGGGCACUGGAAACCAGAUUUGGAUCUUUGAGUCUUCUGGAAGAGCUGUACUGGAUCUUAACUUCUGAGCCUUCAGUCCCCAGGGGACGAUUUACAUUGGUUCUUUUGUGAAGGACUAGAAUAUGAUUGAAUCAGGAAGUAAAAUUGCUUCCUGGUAGGAGGGUACAGUUUUGGAAUUCUGCCUGUGGUCAAAGAGAAUGUUGAGAUCUUUUUAUAGCCACAUGUAAAGAUGAUGUAAAUUAAGUUUUAGUUUAAAGGUAGAGUAAAGUAAGCUUUGAAAAUUUA